CAGCACCUCAAGUGGUCAGGAUGAUUAUUGGGCCUAAAGCAUCCGUAGCCGGCUCUGUAAGUUUUCGGUUAAAUCUGUACGCUCAACGUACAGGCUGCCGGGAAUACUGCAGCGCUAGGGAGUGGGAGAGGUAGACGGUACUCGGUAGGAAGGGGUAAAAUCCUUUGAUCUAUUGAUGACCACCUGUGGCGAAGGCGGUCUACCAGAACACGUCCGACGGUGAGGGAUGAAAGCUGGGGGAGAAAACCGGAUUAGAUACCCGAGUAGUCC
This 270-nucleotide ribosomal RNA is filed under the name uncultured archaeon. RNAcentral's name for it is "partial 16S ribosomal RNA". It matches the Rfam family "Archaeal small subunit ribosomal RNA", at positions 477 to 747 of the family's 1478-position model. The record is from RNAcentral.